GAUGAAGAACGCAGCGAAAUGCGAUAAGUAGUGUGAAUUGCAGAAUUCAGUGAAUCAUCGAAUCUUUGAACGCACAUUGCGCCCCUUGGUAUCCCGAGGGGCAUGCCUGUUCGAGCGUCAUUUCACCACUCAAGCCUGGCUUGGUGUUGGGCGACGUCCUCUUUGGGGACGCGCCUCGAAACGCUCGGCGGCGUGGCACCGGCUUUAAGCGUAGCAGAAUCUUUCGCUUUGGAAGUCGGGGCCCCGUCUGCCGGAAGACCUGCUCGCAAGGUUGACCUCGCAUCAGGCAGGGAUACCCGCUGAACUUAAGCAUAUCAAUAAGCGGAGGA
Molecule: unclassified non-coding RNA, 329 nt
Filed under: soil metagenome
Description: partial contains 5.8S ribosomal RNA, internal transcribed spacer 2, and large subunit ribosomal RNA
Rfam family: 5.8S ribosomal RNA (bases 1-120)
Source: RNAcentral